Molecule: small RNA, 742 nt
Filed under: Pan troglodytes (chimpanzee)
Lineage: Eukaryota; Metazoa; Chordata; Mammalia; Primates; Hominidae
Description: processed transcript
Source: RNAcentral
GGUGAGUCUAAAAUAUACUUUGGGGCCAGGCGCACAGAUCACUUAAGUCAGGAGUUCGAGACUAUCCUGGCCAACAUGGCAAAACCCCGUGUCUACUAAAAAUACAAAAAUUAGCCAUGCAUGCACCUGUAGCUACUAGGGAGGCAGGAGAAUCGCUUGAACUUGGGAGGCAGAGGUUGCAGUGAGCCGAGAUCAUGCCACUGCACUCCAGCCUGGGCAACAGAACAAGACUCUGUCUCAAAACAAAACAUAGUCUGGGGGGUCUUUUCUGGGAAGCAGUGUUAGGAAUAUCUAACUUUUGAUGUAAUUUUGAUGUAAGAACCUUCAUCUAAAAACAUAGUUCCCCAUGUAUCUAGAAAUAAGGCAUAAAUACAGCAUUCAGAUGUAUCCUUGUGGAAAUGGUGACAUGGAGAAAAGCAACACAUGUGGGACCACAGACUCAUGGGCAGUAGGAACAAAACUCCCCUUACGGUACCUCUAUUCAUCAGUACUUUGGUGAGGUGGAGACUCAGACCCAUCCAGAAUGGGUGAGACUGGGCAUGAUUCAGAAAAGUUGGAAGAUCUAGAGAGGGAUCUUGCAAUCUGAAGUUUCUUGUUUAGUCACUGGAGGAUCUGAACGUCUAUGACACUCUUUCGAGCUGACACAGUGAAGAACAUGGAAGGAGAACUCACCCAGUCUGCCAGGGUCACAGAUGAUCAUACUCAAGAUCUUCCUGGGGAGUCAAUGGCAAAUUUCACUGGG